Molecule: ribosomal RNA, 216 nt
Filed under: uncultured bacterium
Lineage: Bacteria
Description: partial 16S ribosomal RNA
Rfam family: Bacterial small subunit ribosomal RNA
Source: RNAcentral
UACGUAGGGUGCGAGCGUUUAAUCGGAAUUACUGGGCGUAAAGCGUGCGCAGGCGGUUCGCUAAGACCGAUGUGAAAUCCCCGGGCUUAACCUGGGAACUGCAUUGGUGACUGGCGGGCUAGAGUAUGGCAGAGGGGGGGUAGAAUUCCACGUGUAGCAGUGAAAUGCGUAGAGAUGUGGGGGAAUACCGAUGGCGAAGGCAGCCAGCCCCUGGGC